RNAcentral lists this ribosomal RNA (406 nucleotides) under uncultured bacterium. RNAcentral describes it as "partial 16S ribosomal RNA". It matches the Rfam family "Bacterial small subunit ribosomal RNA", at positions 30 to 526 of the family's 1533-position model. The record is from RNAcentral.
AUUGAACGCUGGCGGCAGGCCUAACACAUGCAAGUCGAACGAGUGGCGGACGGGUGAGUAAUUUAUUGGAAACUGCCCGAUGGAGGGGGAUAACUACUGGACACGGUAGCUAAUACCGCAUACCAUCGGAUGUGCCCAGAUGGGAUUAGCUCGUAGGUGGGUUAACGGCUCACCUAGGCGACGAUCCCUAGCUGGUCUGAUAGGAUGACCAGCAACACUGGAACGGGGACACGGUCAAGACUCCUACGGGAGGCAGCAGUGGGGAAUAUUGCACAAUGGGCGCAAGUCUGAUGCAGCCAUGCCGCGUGUAUGAAGAAGGCCUUCGGGUUGUAAAGUACUUUCAUCGAGGAGGCGUUACUCGCAGAAGAAGCACCGGCUAACUCCGUGCCAGCCGCCGCGGUAAUAC